Molecule: ribosomal RNA, 450 nt
Filed under: uncultured bacterium
Lineage: Bacteria
Description: partial 16S ribosomal RNA
Rfam family: Bacterial small subunit ribosomal RNA
Source: RNAcentral
ACUACGGGAGGCAGUGGGGAAUAUUGCGCAAUGGGCGAAAGCCUGACGCAGCGACGCCGCGUGGGUGAUGAAGGCCUUCGGGUUGUAAAGCCCUGUCGGGUGGAACGAACGAUCUGGCGGCGAAUAACCGCCGGGUGUGACGGUACCACCGAAGGAAGCCCCGGCUAACUACGUGCCAGCAGCCGCGGUAAGACGUAGGGGGCGAGCAUUGUUCGGAUUUACUGCGCGUAAAGCUCGCGUAGGCGGCUGUGAAAUCCCUGGGCUUAACCGAGGUCCCGCAUCCGAUACUGUCUGGCUCGAGUCUAGGAGAGGAAAGCGGAAUUCCCAGUGUAGCGGUGAAAUGCGUAGAUAUUGGGAGGAACACCGGUGGCGAAGGCGGCUUUCCGGACUAGUACUGACGCUGAGGCGCGAAAGCUAGGGGAGCGAACGGGAUUAGAUACCCUUGUAGUC